This 253-nucleotide ribosomal RNA is filed under the name uncultured bacterium. RNAcentral's name for it is "partial 16S ribosomal RNA". It matches the Rfam family "Bacterial small subunit ribosomal RNA", at positions 524 to 776 of the family's 1533-position model. The record is from RNAcentral.
UACGGGGGGAGCAAGCGUUGUUCGGAUUUACUGGGCGUAAAGGGCUCGUAGGCGGCCAACUAAGUCAUACGUGAAAUCCCUCGGCUUAACCGGGGAACUGCGUCUGAUACUGGAUGGCUUGAGUUCGGGAGAGGGAUGCGGAAUUCCAGGUGUAGCGGUGAAAUGCGUAGAUAUCUGGAGGAACACCGGUGGCGAAGGCGGCAUCCUGGACCGACACUGACACUGAGGAGCGAAAGCCAGGGGAGCAAACGGG